ACGGGUGAGUAACGCGUGGGAACAUACCCUUCGGUUCGGAAUAACUCAGGGAAACUUGAGCUAAUACCGGAUACGUCCGAGGUUUUAAUCGACCUUGGAGAAAGAUUUAUCGCCGGAGGAUUGGCCCGCGUCUGAUUAGCUUGUUGGUGAGGUAAUGGCUCACCAAGGCGACGAUCAGUAGCUGGUCUGAGAGGAUGAUCAGCCACAUUGGGACUGAGACACGGCCCAAACUCCUACGGGAGGCAGCAGUGGGGAAUAUUGGACAAUGGGCGAAAGCCUGAUCCAGCCAUGCCGCGUGAGUGAUGAAGGCCUUAGGGUUGUAAAGCUCUUUUACCCGGGAAGAUAAUGACGGUACCGGGAGAAUAAGCCCCGGCUAACUUCGUGCCAGCAGCCGCGG
Molecule: ribosomal RNA, 397 nt
Filed under: uncultured bacterium
Lineage: Bacteria
Description: bacterial SSU rRNA
Rfam family: Bacterial small subunit ribosomal RNA
Source: RNAcentral